RNAcentral lists this ribosomal RNA (315 nucleotides) under Triticum aestivum (bread wheat). Its description in RNAcentral is "partial small subunit ribosomal RNA". The record is from RNAcentral. Lineage: Eukaryota; Viridiplantae; Streptophyta; Magnoliopsida; Poales; Poaceae.
AUGGAGUCCUACUCCUACGCGAACGGGGCCAAAUUUGAUUGCUUGCUGUUUGACAUGGAUGAAACCCUCUACCCACUGAGCUUAGGGAUCAACAUAGCCUGCCGCAAGAACAUCCAAGUUCAAAAUAUAUAUGCAAGAUGUUUGGGAGCUCCACGCCGUCACCCGCCGGCGCACCUCUGCCUCUCCAUGGGCAGUGGAUCCUCCACCGCAGGUCAACCUCAUGGCAGCAGGCAGUUCGACGCUCUCUGUCGUGCUAUGUUCAACGCUCCCUUGAGCUCCACUAGAACUACUUUUCGGCCGCGUCUGCACCUCUGA